RNAcentral lists this ribosomal RNA (246 nucleotides) under uncultured bacterium. Its description in RNAcentral is "partial 16S ribosomal RNA". It matches the Rfam family "Bacterial small subunit ribosomal RNA", at positions 524 to 768 of the family's 1533-position model. The record is from RNAcentral.
UACGUAGGGACCGAGCGUUGUCCGGAUUCAUUGGGCGUAAAGAGCUCGUAGGCGGCCACUCAAGUCGAAUGUGAAACCUCGAGGCUCAACCUCGAGCCUGCAUUCGAUACUGGGCGGCUAGAGUCUGGUAGGGGGAUCGUGGAAUUCCUGGUGCAGCGGUGGAAUGCGCAGAUAUCAGGAGGAACACCGGUGGCGAAGGCGGGAUCCUGGGCCAGUACUGACGCUGAGGAGCGAAAGCGUGGGGAG